CGAACGGGUGAGUAACGCGUGAAUAACCUGACUCAAAGAGGGGGAUAACAACGGGAAACUGUUGCUAAUACCGCAUGAGACCACAACACCGCAUGAUGAAGGGGUCAAAGAUUUAUCGCUUUGAGAGGGGUUCGCGUCCCAUUAGGUAGUUGGAGGGGUAACGGCCCACCAAGCCAACGAUGGGUAGCCGAGCUGAGAGGUUGAUCGGCCACACUGGAACUGAGACACGGUCCAG
This 235-nucleotide ribosomal RNA is filed under the name uncultured bacterium. RNAcentral describes it as "partial 16S ribosomal RNA". It matches the Rfam family "Bacterial small subunit ribosomal RNA", at positions 99 to 334 of the family's 1533-position model. The record is from RNAcentral.